GCUUUAAAGGUUUUCCUUCAGUCAAUUCUUUGGCAAUUCAGUUGAUGGGAAACAUUUAUGGCAUGAAUUUGUACGUAAUGGCAUUUGGCAAUUUGAUUAGCAGUUGACGCCGUGGCCGUAAACAUGUCUGGCAAAUGACGUUGCGUAAUCAAAUUCUGUUGACGUUUUAUUGUCACUACACGUUGAUCUGUUCAUUGAUGUCCA
This 204-nucleotide long non-coding RNA is filed under the name Mytilus galloprovincialis (Mediterranean mussel). Lineage: Eukaryota; Metazoa; Mollusca; Bivalvia; Mytilida; Mytilidae. The record is from RNAcentral.